Molecule: ribosomal RNA, 714 nt
Filed under: uncultured Acinetobacter sp.
Lineage: Bacteria; Pseudomonadati; Pseudomonadota; Gammaproteobacteria; Moraxellales; Moraxellaceae
Description: bacterial SSU rRNA
Rfam family: Bacterial small subunit ribosomal RNA
Source: RNAcentral
UUAGGAAUCUGUCUAUUAGUGGGGGACAACAUUCCGAAAGGAAUGCUAAUACCGCAUACGUCCUACGGGAGAAAGCAGGGGAUCUUCGGACCUUGCGCUAAUAGAUGAGCCUAAGUCGGAUUAGCUAGUUGGUGGGGUAAAGGCCUACCAAGGCGACGAUCUGUAGCGGGUCUGAGAGGAUGAUCCGCCACACUGGGACUGAGACACGGCCCAGACUCCUACGGGAGGCAGCAGUGGGGAAUAUUGGACAAUGGGGGGAACCCUGAUCCAGCCAUGCCGCGUGUAUGAAGAAGGCCUUAUGGUUGUAAAGCACUUUAAGCGAGGAGGAGGCUACUGAGACUAAUACUCUUGGAUAGUGGACGUUACUCGCAGAAUAAGCACCGGCUAACUCUGUGCCAGCAGCCGCGGUAAUACAGAGGGUGCGAGCGUUAAUCGGAUUUACUGGGCGUAAAGCGUGCGUAGGCGGCUUUUUAAGUCGGAUGUGAAAUCCCCGAGCUUAACUUGGGAAUUGCAUUCGAUACUGGGAAGCUAGAGUAUGGGAGAGGAUGGUAGAAUUCCAGGUGUAGCGGUGAAAUGCGUAGAGAUCUGGAGGAAUACCGAUGGCGAAGGCAGCCAUCUGGCCUAAUACUGACGCUGAGAUACGAAAGCAUGGGGAGCAAACAGGAUUAGAUACCCUGGUAGUCCAUGCCGUAAACGAUGUCUACUAGCCGUUGG